This 434-nucleotide ribosomal RNA is filed under the name uncultured Enterobacter sp. RNAcentral describes it as "bacterial SSU rRNA". It matches the Rfam family "Bacterial small subunit ribosomal RNA", at positions 958 to 1392 of the family's 1533-position model. The record is from RNAcentral. Lineage: Bacteria; Pseudomonadati; Pseudomonadota; Gammaproteobacteria; Enterobacterales; Enterobacteriaceae.
AACGCGAAGAACCUUACCUACUCUUGACAUCCAGAGAACUUAGCAGAGAUGCUUUGGUGCCUUCGGGAACUCUGAGACAGGUGCUGCAUGGCUGUCGUCAGCUCGUGUUGUGAAAUGUUGGGUUAAGUCCCGCAACGAGCGCAACCCUUAUCCUUUGUUGCCAGCGGUUAGGCCGGGAACUCAAAGGAGACUGCCAGUGAUAAACUGGAGGAAGGUGGGGAUGACGUCAAGUCAUCAUGGCCCUUACGAGUAGGGCUACACACGUGCUACAAUGGCGCAUACAAAGAGAAGCGACCUCGCGAGAGCAAGCGGACCUCAUAAAGUGCGUCGUAGUCCGGAUUGGAGUCUGCAACUCGACUCCAUGAAGUCGGAAUCGCUAGUAAUCGUGGAUCAGAAUGCCAUGGUGAAUACGUUCCCGGGUCUUGUACACACCG